CCUACGGGUGGCUGCAGUGAGGAAUAUUGGUCAAUGGCCGGAAGGCUGAACCAGCCAUGCCGCGUGAAGGUCAGUGCCCUAUGGGCGUUAAACCUCUUUUGUGCGGGAGCAAUAAUGGUCACGUGUGGCCAGACGAGAGUACCGUACGAAUAAGCAUCGGCUAAAUCCGUGCCAGCAGCCGCGGUAAUACGGGGGGUGCAAGGGUUUUCCGGGUUUUUUGGGGUUAAAGGGUGCGUAGGGUGUGAGGUAAAGCAGCGGUGAAAUGCCCCCGGUCAACGGGGUGAAGUGCCAUUGAUACUGGCUUGCUGGAAUGCGGAUGCCGUGGGGGGAAUGUGUGGUGUAGCGGUGAAAUGCAUAGAUAUCAUGCAGAACAUCGAUUGCGAAGGCAUCUCACGAAUCCGCGAUUGACGCUGAUGCACGAAAGCGUGGGUAUCAAACAGGAUUAGAUACCCCAGUAGUC
RNAcentral lists this ribosomal RNA (460 nucleotides) under uncultured bacterium. Its description in RNAcentral is "partial 16S ribosomal RNA". It matches the Rfam family "Bacterial small subunit ribosomal RNA", at positions 338 to 795 of the family's 1533-position model. The record is from RNAcentral.